Molecule: ribosomal RNA, 253 nt
Filed under: uncultured bacterium
Lineage: Bacteria
Description: partial 16S ribosomal RNA
Rfam family: Bacterial small subunit ribosomal RNA
Source: RNAcentral
UACAGAGGGGGCAAGCGUUAUUCGGAAUUAUUGGGCGUAAAGGGCGCGUAGGCGGCCUGGCAAGUGGAAGGUGAAAUCCCUCGGCUUAACCGAGGAACGGCCCUCCAAACUGCUUGGCUUGAGUCCGGGAGAGGUGAGUGGAAUUCCCAGUGUAGCGGUGAAAUGCGUAGAUAUUGGGAGGAACACCAGUGGCGAAGGCGGCUCACUGGACCGGAACUGACGCUGAGGCGCGAAAGCGUGGGGAGCAAACAGG